This 520-nucleotide long non-coding RNA is filed under the name Elaeis guineensis (African oil palm). RNAcentral's name for it is "long non-coding RNA (EGUI_LNC047063)". Lineage: Eukaryota; Viridiplantae; Streptophyta; Magnoliopsida; Arecales; Arecaceae. The record is from RNAcentral.
GGAUUCAUUCCUUUUUAUUUUAAACCUGUUCAUGAGCCGACCCCUCAUUCUCUUCAUCUUCCUCCCUCCAAGACCCGUCAUCCUCAUCUUCUUUCUCUCCAAAACUAAAGAUUUAGCUCAAGAACUUUCUCCCUUCUCCUCUCCACCUCAAAUCACCGCCUGGGAAAGGAGAUUUUCGCAUCUUUCUCCUUUGAUUGAAGCGGUUGGAGCGUGCCCUAGCCUCCACCGUUCUUCUCAAAACCAUCUCUUCUCUCCGCCAAAAUCCCUUUCCAUCAUCUUGUAACCCUCCUUCUACUCACCUUUUUGGUCUUCCGAGUCUCCCUGCCUGCUCUUGGGGUGAGAAUGGCUCCAAAGAUGAAGCUUCCUCAAAGAAGAAAAUCAGUCCGUGAGCUGGAAGAAAGCGUCCGCAAAAAAAGGCAAGCUGCUCAGUCCUCCACUGCUCCCAUUUCGGCUUCAGUGUCUGCUCAAGGUCCCUCUCAGUCUCCCCUUAGCCCUAGUAAAAUCCCUCUAUCUGAUAGGA